GCGUGAGCAGCUUGUGGUGGAAAAUGUAAGUGCAUUAAUUGCUGUAGCGUCAUCACUGCAAUUUCUAUUGUGUUAUACAUCUCUAGUUAAUUGAAUCAAUAUAAAAUUCUACUGGAAAUUGUCCAUUAAAAAUUAAAUUCUAUAUUAUUAUGGUCAGCAUUCUUGAAAAAAUAAUUUAUAGUAAAAAACCAACCUUGAUAAAUAUAUUUACACGCAUUUACAGCCCGGAAAUACGACAACUUACUAUUUUUUAACAAGCACGAGACUAUGCACAAUAGACUGUCAACAAAUCUUAAACUGAUCAAAACCUGAUAUAACGGGUCACAUAAUUGCAAAAGGUGUAAAUUAUUUAUUUGUUUUAGACGCAACGGUUGGCAUUUUCAUUUUUGACCUUUCCAACUAUAUUUGACUUUCUAAUUAUAAUCUUGGUACGUUUUGUCUAAUCUUCAACAGGGAUCAACUAAUUUGUAACUUAUUACAUAAGUUUAUAACUUGAAGCAACUAAAUGUAGCAAAAUGUAUGUCCGAAAUCAAAUAAGUAAUAUUGCAUCUUCAACACUUUGUUGAACUUGAUUGGAGUUCGAUGAAAAGCGACAAUUUAUAAAUUAUGAGUUUUACUUUUUCAGAAUAAUUAUGACACCGUCUUGCUCUCAAAUUAUUUCUCAUUACUAGAAAACUUAUUAAAUUGGUUUUAUGAAUAUGGUGUUUAGUUAAGUUACAUAUUUAUUGCAAGUUGAAAUAGAGUGGAGCUAUAACCAUAGCCAAACUGCGUAUUUGUACUAUAAUGUAUUAAUUCACUGUCAUCCGAUAUCUUGUUAUCUGUAAAGUCUUCCUUAUCGUUAAUUGUGUAGGUAGACUUACAGUGCAAGUAAUUUUUGAUUGGUUUAUUCGUAUUGAUAAUUGAUAUUGAGCGAACCUUCAUUAUACAUCAAUUUAACAUUCUAAAAUCCAGACAGAUUGUACAUAUCAAGUUGCAAGUAAGAGAUCUCUUCUUCGAUUUUUUCAUAAAGUUGCAGAUCAUAUCGAUAAAUUCCUGAAAUGAAUGUUAAAAGAUAUAAGAUUUCUUUUAUGCGUUUACUUUUAUGCGUUUCUGAAUAAAUCAAUAAGAAGUAUACGCAAGAAUUUAUGUCUUCUGAGAGUACUAACUUUUACAUAUCUAUAUACAUACAUAUAACUACAUACAAACAUGUAUUAUGUGACUAUAAGGUAUGAAUUUGAUUUCUUCUUUAAAUUUUGCACUAAGUUCUUACCGCGAUAACCUACUCCAAUUUUUGGAUAUCGAUUAAAACAACUACAACAACUCCGUUGCUACUAUUUUAAUAGCAACGGAGAAGGUUCGUGGGAUUUGUAUUAUUCUUAGGAGUUGACAAGAACAUGGUCUCAAUUUAUCAUCAUACAGUUUCAGAAUUAUACGAUUCGACAUAAGAGAAGAAGUUCUUUGAAUAAUUAAAUGACUAGUGUUCAGAAAUUUACAAUUACCUGUAGGAAAUGUUAGACAGUUAUAUAAUGAUUUCUUAUCUAUAUAUUGAUUAUGCAAUAUAAUAUUAAGCUUGAUGUUCUCCUUUAAUUAUGAUAAUAAAAUUGUGUUUAUGAAU
This is a long non-coding RNA of Folsomia candida, 1594 nucleotides long. RefSeq lists it as uncharacterized. The transcript has 2 exons. NCBI's taxonomy places the organism in Eukaryota, Metazoa, Arthropoda, Collembola, Entomobryomorpha, Isotomidae. The record is from RefSeq and is a predicted model, not a curated record.